GAUGAACGCUGGCGGCGUGCCUAAUACAUGCCAGUCGAGCGAACAGACGAGGAGCUUGCUCCUCUGACGUUAGCGGCGGACGGGUGAGUAACACGUGGAUAACCUACCUAUAAGACUGGGAUAACUUCGGGAAACCGAAGCUAAUACCGGAUAAUAUAUUGAACCGCAUGGUUCAAUAGUGAAAGACGGUUUUGCUGUCACUUAUAGAUGGAUCCGCGCCGCAUUAGCUAGUUGGUAAGGUAACGGCUUACCAAGGCAACGAUGCGUAGCCGACCUGAGAGGGUGAUCGGCCACACUGGAACUGAGACACGGUCCAGACUCCUACGGGAGGCAGCAGUAGGGAAUCUUCCGCAAUGGGCGAAAGCCUGACGGAGCAACGCCGCGUGAGUGAUGAAGGUCUUCGGAUCGUAAAACUCUGUUAUUAGGGAAGAACAAAUGUGUAAGUAACUAUGCACGUCUUGACGGUACCUAAUCAGAAAGCCACGGCUAACUACGU
Molecule: ribosomal RNA, 496 nt
Filed under: uncultured bacterium
Lineage: Bacteria
Description: partial 16S ribosomal RNA
Rfam family: Bacterial small subunit ribosomal RNA
Source: RNAcentral